Long non-coding RNA from Oncorhynchus tshawytscha (Chinook salmon), 2284 nucleotides. The record is from Ensembl. Lineage: Eukaryota; Metazoa; Chordata; Actinopteri; Salmoniformes; Salmonidae.
UUUGUACUUUAACUAUCAUUAUAACACUGUACAUAGCCACAAUGACAUUUGAAAUGUCUCCAUUUCUCUGAAACCUUUGUGAGUGUAAUGUUUACAGUUAAUUUUUGAUUGUUUAUUUCACUUUUGCUUAUUAUCUAUUCACUUGCGUUGGCAAUGUAAACAUGUUUCCUAUGCCAAUAAAGCCCUUUGAAUUGAGAGAGAAUAAAAUGUGGUGGCUUGGAUAAUUGGAGACUGACAACUUGACAGGACAUAACACAUCGAUGGGAAGAGCCCCCGUUGCACUCUAAACUCUUUCUCACUCAAAGGAGCACUUACAAAGGUGAUACUAACUAAUAAGGAACACUAGGCUGUGGUUGCUCACUCUGUGCUUUACCUGUGUUUUGAGUUGUUGUUGACCUGUUGAUGCAGGUUUUUAUAGUGUUCUCAGGUUGGUGUUCGAAUCCUUGUGUGUGAGAGCCACUGUGUGUCCAAAUUCCUCUUUAGCUAGCAGGGGUGGGUGGGGGAUUUGGCUUUGUGAUCAUCUGAUCACAUUUCUUUUAAAACUACCCAACACCACCUCACCAGCCUGGCUCCCUCUACACUAUACUUCCGUUCUUGGUUACCAAAGGAAGCUUUGCCUAAUCUCUGCACCCCUAACAAACAUGAGGUGAGGAACCCUGAAAGUCACUGAAGGAGUGGAUAUAAUAACUUAAGUCUUUGUGAAAUGGUAUGGGCGGCAGGUAGCGGAGCGGUUAAGAGCGUUGGGCCAGUAACCGAAAGGUUCGAAUCCCUGAGGCCAACUAGGUGAAAAAUAUGUUGAUGUGCAAGGCACUUAACCGUAAUUGCUCUGGAUAAGAGCAUCUGCUAAAAUAUGGAAGAGAAAAGUAACCUUUCAUUAGUUGAUAUACAGUAACUGAGUGCUGUUAGUGAAGUGUUUUAGCCUAUUGUUUUCUCAAGUCCAACCCAGAAGCAUGGAAUGAUGGAAUUAAGAACAUUAUGGGUGUAGUCACUUGUAAAAACACCACUUUGAGGAAAAUUGGAGCUCAAUUUAAAGAGUUGUUUAACAAAACAUGUUUUAAUCGGCUGAAGACUGUUGCCAUAUUUCCACAUCGAAUAAGGGUGCUUUCACGGGCACAUAUACUACAGGAAUUCCACCUGUGCUUUCAAUCACUCGCUGCCAAGGGCGGUUUGAGGUAAACCAAACUCACUAAUCUAGGCCAUCAGUCUUGUGAGACCACACCAUACAGUAGAUGAUUGUGCUUUGGAGUCUUUGUGCAGUGUCUGCUGUGGCUGUUUCAUAGUGUCCCAUUAGCUGUUUAUUCUUCAGGAGCUGGAUGAUGGUAAAGAACUCACUACCAGGGCUGGAGACCUGGAAGGCUAACAGAGAGAACAGAUACCCCUACAUACUGCCUUGAGAGUAUCAUAGCACCACCACAUGCUGCCCCUGAGUAAUAGGAGUGUAAUUACCAUGAUUAUAUAACCUGCUGUAUCUAAGUACAUGAACACAUCCUUCACAUCUCUCCCAUGUUCGGUAAUGCUUCCCACUUUCUGAUCACGUUGAUUAAUAACAGUCCCUGUGAUUUCAGAUUACCACUGUAGAGUGAAGCUAUAUCAACGCUAGUUAUGUCCCUGUAAGUACUCUGUCUGUCCAUAUAUCCAUUCAUCAAGUCAGUGGUCUGCUUUUCAGGGGGCUGUACAGAGCCAGACUUAAUCUGUAGCCAGGGUCCUUUGCGCAGCACCAUGGCUGACUUCUGGAGGAUGGUGUGGGAGCAGAAUGUUAGGAUCAUCUUCAUGGUGACCCCCCUGAAACAGAAGGACAUGGAGAGUGGCAGUGAGACAGACAGAGACAGAAUGAUGAGGGAGAAAGAAGGGAGAGAAAGGAGAACGAGGAAAAAGUCCUGACCUGUAUUAUGUCUUGGCCUUGCGGCAGUGGUCAUAUGGGGCGAGAGCUGCUGCUGUCAUGACAUCCCCUUCUGCUGGGACACCUGCACCUGCUGUUGCUGAAGUCUCUUACCAGACAGACAGUUCCAGCAGUGACCCAGCCACCUCGUUGCCGUCUGUGUAGAUGCAGUUGACCCCCUGCUGGUAAACCAUGGUGGUGGUUGUAGUGAUAACACCUGCCUGCUGGUUGAACUCCUGCAGUGCCUCUGAGCGCUUGUUGGACAGGGACUCCAGGAACUCCUUCAUCCGAUACUGGGGACACUGUGGACCUUCAGCCUCACUAGCUCCUCAAACAAACCUUCCAUACUUUUCGCUACUCUAAGGUGACAAACAAGAUGCAUGUCAAUUAGUAUUGUACCAUAAC